This 275-nucleotide non-coding RNA is filed under the name Paenibacillus bovis. Its description in RNAcentral is "T-box sequence". It matches the Rfam family "T-box leader". From Rfam's summary of the family: Uncharged tRNA acts as the effector for transcription antitermination of genes in the T-box leader family. T-boxes are found upstream of many aminoacyl-tRNA synthetase genes and some amino acid biosynthetic genes usually in Gram-positive bacteria. The anticodon of a specific tRNA base pairs to a specifier sequence within the T-box motif, and the NCCA acceptor tail of the tRNA base pairs to a conserved bulge in the T-box antiterminator hairpin. The record is from RNAcentral. Lineage: Bacteria; Bacillati; Bacillota; Bacilli; Caryophanales; Paenibacillaceae.
GGGAAUACGAUGAUAGAGAGUAGUACGCAGAAGAAUGCUUCUUCAGAAAGCCGGUGGUGGAUGCGAACCGGUGAAGCUGGUCUGCCGAAUGGACUCUGGAGUGCUUGGCUGAAAUGGACCUCUGUGGAGGAUUCCGGAUUAGGCCGGCCGGCUGGUUCACCGUUAACGGAACCUGUAUGAGGCCGGACUCUGUCUGUGCUGUAGCUAUAUGAUAUAGUGCUGCAGCCCAGUGAUACCGGUAAAUGAGGGUGGCACCACGGUCACACGUCCCUUGC